RNAcentral lists this ribosomal RNA (251 nucleotides) under uncultured bacterium. RNAcentral's name for it is "partial 16S ribosomal RNA". It matches the Rfam family "Bacterial small subunit ribosomal RNA", at positions 28 to 252 of the family's 1533-position model. The record is from RNAcentral.
GACGAACGCUGGCGGCGUGCUUAACACAUGCAAGUCGAACGGAGUGCCUAUGACAGAGACUUCGGUCAAUAGAUUAGGUUACUUAGUGGCGGACUGGUGAGUAACGCGUGAGGAACCUGCCUUUCAGAGGGGGACGAACAGUUGGAAACGAACUGCUAAUACCGCAUGACACAUUUGGGUCGGGCAUCGCCCGGACUGUCAAAGAAUUUUAUUCGCUGAAAGAAUGGCCUCGCGUCUGAUUAGAUAGUUGG